This 234-nucleotide ribosomal RNA is filed under the name uncultured bacterium. RNAcentral's name for it is "partial 16S ribosomal RNA". It matches the Rfam family "Bacterial small subunit ribosomal RNA", at positions 91 to 334 of the family's 1533-position model. The record is from RNAcentral.
GAGAGUGGCGAACGGGUGAGUAACACGUAGGUAAUCUACCUUUGGGUGGGGGAUAGCCCAUGGAAACAUGGGGUAAUACCGCAUGAUGCCGUAAGGUUAAAGGAGCAAUUGUUCCGCCUGAGGAUGAGCCUGCGGUCCAUUAGUUAGUUGGUGAGGUAAGAGCUCUACCAAGGCGACGAUGGAUAGCCGGCCUGAGAGGGUGAACGGCCACACUGGGACUGAGACACGGCCCAG